CGCCCACCGCCGGCACGCCCUGCCGAGCGACGCGGCCUUGCGGCGCGCGCGCUCCGUGCCGGUGCCCAGCAGCUCCCAGAUGGCCCACUCCACGCCCUGGACCGCCACCACCUGCGACGCAGCGGCGGCGCCGGCGCGCCUGCACAGCAGCACCAGCGCGGCCGCCGCGCACUCCCGCGACCACUCCGUGCCGCGCCGCAUCUCGUUCACCAGCCGCGCCACGGCGCCGUCCAGCGCGACGAUCGCCUCCGCGCCGCCGCGCUUCGCCAGCGACGCCAGCACCGCCGCGGCGGCCUCGGCCUCGGCCUCGCCGACCGCGGCCAGCGCCGCCUCCGCGGCGCCGGCCUCGACGAUCCUCGGCACGUUCUCCCGCUCGGCGGACAGGCACAGGAGCGCCGCGAGCGCGUCCUUCUUGGUGCUGGAGGGGCCCGUGCGCGCGAGCCGCACGACGCUCUCGACGACGCGUGGGUUCCGCCCGAGCCGGCGGCGGUACGCGUGGACGGCCGCCAGGCUGAGCACGGUGGCCGCGGCGUUCUCCUUGGCGCGCCACGUGGCGCCCGUGCCCAUGACGUGGCAGAGCGCGUCCACGGCGCCCUCCGCGUGCAUGAUGCGCUUCUUGUUGGCCUCCAGGAUGGAGAGGUUGAGCAGCGCCGUCACGGCGUUGAGCUGGAGAGCCGAGUCCUCGGACAGGAGCAGCGGCACGAGGAGCCCCGCGGCGCCGGCCUCCCCGAUGAACGCGCGGUUGUCGGACCCGGACUUGGCCAGCUGCCGGAUCUCUUGGACCACGCGCUUCGUCGCCUCGGGGGAGAAAGAGGCCGACAGCUUCUUCACGAGGAACGACGCGGUCAUGCGCGCCGCCUUCAGCGCGGCCUUGUUCGCGCCUACCGCCGGCGCCGGCUCGGCUUUCCCGGACUCGCUGCUCUCCAUGGGGAUGCCGUUCUCCCGGCACCACCGCGAUAUCAAGUUCUUGAGCGCCUUGUUGGGCACGAGUUCCAGAUUCAGCAGCACUUGCCCGGUCUUGGGGCACGUGGAUUUGCCAGAGCCGAACCAGCGCGUGAUGGAGUCACGGUCGUACGUCUGACCGCUAGAAGCCACGACGGGGUCGCCCAUCAGCUCGAGGGAGAUGGGGCACCGGAAGUCCGGCGGCGGCGACGGUGGCUCCGCGUCGUCGAGAUCCACCUUGGAGUCCACGGGCCGCGGCGUGGCGGCACUGAAGAGGACGCACUUGGCGUAGCGGAGGAGGCCGACGAGGGCGAUCAUCGACGACGUCCACCUCUCGGCGACGCGGUCGCCGAUCUCCCGCUCCAGGGUCUCGAUCUCGUCGCUGCAGCUGGCGGGGUCGUUGAUGCCCACGUCCUCCAGGAUACCCUCAAGCCUCUCCCGCUCCGGCACGAUCUCCCGCUCCACCUCCUGGAUCAGCGCGAGCACGCCCGCCUUCAGCUCCAGCUCCGGGGCCGCCGCGCGGCGGCACUGCCGCGACGCGAGCGCCAGGAGGUCCGACACGUCGUCGGCGAGCCCGAGCUCCGCGGCGGGGAGCAGGUCGAUCAGCGUGGCGAGGUCCUCCCGGAGGCACAGGGACGCGGAGCGCGGCAGCAGCAGCAGCAGCAGCGGGCCCGCGGCCGCGCCGCACAGCAGCAGGUCGUCGAACACGGCGGCCAGCAGGCGCGCCCGCCUGGCCACCGCUGCGAAGACCGGCCGCAGGAACGGCGCCGGCGCCUCGGCCGCCGACAGGUCCCGCGCCAGGCGGUGCAGGGAGCGCAGGACCUCCCCGUCGGGCGCCGACGAGGAGUAGGGGGAUGACGGCCACGCGUCGCUCAUCAUUGGUGCUGCUGUAUGUGCCUUGAGUAUGUAACGAUGGAAUCCGAUUCUGAUUACAAUCUCAAUCCGAUUCUGAUUACAAUCUCAAUCCGAAGAGAAGGCGGUGAAGAAACACGGAUGGAUGGACAAGUGAGACGAGUUGGAGAUGGGAUGGGACGAUGAGAUGGGAGAAGACACGGAGCGGAAGGCGGGGAGGGGUAGCAUAUAUACGGGGUGGCCGGCGUGGGUGGCUUGGCGCGUUGAGUUGUGCGCGAGCUGGGGUUGAAGAGGCUGGAAAUCGGACGGAA
Molecule: unclassified non-coding RNA, 2105 nt
Filed under: Zea mays
Lineage: Eukaryota; Viridiplantae; Streptophyta; Magnoliopsida; Poales; Poaceae
Description: misc RNA Zm00001eb290540
Source: RNAcentral